Molecule: ribosomal RNA, 466 nt
Filed under: uncultured bacterium
Lineage: Bacteria
Description: partial 16S ribosomal RNA
Rfam family: Bacterial small subunit ribosomal RNA
Source: RNAcentral
GAUGAACGCUGGCGGCGUGUUUAACACCUGCAAGUCGAACGAUGAAGCCCAGCUUGCUGCGUGGUUUAGUGGCGAACGCGUUUGUAACCCGUCAGUAACCUGCCCUUGACUCUGGGAUAAGCUCUGCAAACGCCGUCUAAUACCGGAUACGACCUUCCACCGCAUGCUGACUUGCUGCACACAAUUUCGGUCAAGGAUGGACUCGCGGCCUAUCAGGUAGUUGGUGCUGUAACGGCUCACCAAGCCGACGACGGGUAGCCGGCCUGAGAGGGUCACCGGCCACACUGGGACUGAGAGACGGCCAAGACUCCUACGGGAGGCAGCGGUCGGGAAUAUUGCACAAUGGGCCCAAGCCUGAUGCAGCAACGCCGCGUGAGGGACGAAGGCCUUCGGGUCGUAGACGUCGUGUAGCAGGGAAGAAGCGAAAGUGACGGUACCUGCAGAAAAAGGACCGGCUAACUACGUG